ACGCAUCUGUUUGACAGACCUGGAGCAAACGGCCGUUGCUUCUCUGGUUUCUUGCUGAGAUGCAACAGUAAUGGGUUCCUUGCGCUUUCUACCUGUCUGACCUUGUGGCAGUCUGGAUUGAAUAAAGGAACACAAAA
This 137-nucleotide small nucleolar RNA is filed under the name Buteo japonicus. RNAcentral's name for it is "Small nucleolar RNA SNORA31 (ENSBJAG00000010269.1)". It matches the Rfam family "Small nucleolar RNA SNORA31". From Rfam's summary of the family: ACA31 (SNORA31) belongs to the H/ACA class of snoRNAs which are thought to guide the sites of modification of uridines to pseudouridines. ACA31 is predicted to guide the pseudouridylation of U3713 in 28S rRNA and U218 in 18S rRNA. The record is from Rfam by way of RNAcentral. Lineage: Eukaryota; Metazoa; Chordata; Aves; Accipitriformes; Accipitridae.